AUCUUUUGAGUAUGAUCAGUACAUUUGCCUUCCAAGCAAAAAGUUUAAAUAAUUUUAAAAAAGAUACUUCUAGUAUUAUCUAGCGGUGUUAGGGCACUAAGA
Molecule: transfer RNA, 102 nt
Filed under: Conus borgesi
Lineage: Eukaryota; Metazoa; Mollusca; Gastropoda; Neogastropoda; Conidae
Description: tRNA-Gly
Source: RNAcentral